This 81-nucleotide ribosomal RNA is filed under the name Elaphodus cephalophus (tufted deer). RNAcentral's name for it is "partial 12S ribosomal RNA". Lineage: Eukaryota; Metazoa; Chordata; Mammalia; Artiodactyla; Cervidae. The record is from RNAcentral.
AACACACAGGUUUGGUCCCAGCCUUCCCAUUAACCCUUAAUAGACUUACACAUGCAAGUAUCCACAUCCCAGUGAAAAUGC